Molecule: ribosomal RNA, 252 nt
Filed under: uncultured bacterium
Lineage: Bacteria
Description: partial 16S ribosomal RNA
Rfam family: Bacterial small subunit ribosomal RNA
Source: RNAcentral
UACGUAGGGGGCAAGCGUUGUCCGGAUUUAUUGGGCGUAAAGAGCGUGUAGGCGGUUUGGUAGGUCCGCUGUGAAAACUCGAGCUCAACCUCGAGACGCCGGUGGAAACCAUCAGACUAGAGUCCGGAAGAGGAGAGUGGAAUUCCUGGUGUAGCGGUGAAAUGCGCAGAUAUCAGGAAGAACACCCGUGGCUAAGGCGGCUCUCUAGUACGGUACUGACGCUGAGACGCGAAAGCGUGGGGAGCAAACAGG